GAUCAUGGCUCAGGAUGAACGCUAGCGGCAGGCUUAACACAUGCAAGUCGAGGGGCAGCGCGAGGUAGCAAUACCUUGGCGGCGACCGGCGGAAGGGUGCGUAACGCGUGAGCAACAUGCCCGUAUGAGGGGGAUAAGCGAUGGAAACGUCGUCUAAUACCCCGUAACACAGGAGAUCGCAUGAUCACCUGUUGAAAGAUUCAUCGCAUACGGAUUGGCUCGCGUGACAUUAGCUAGUCGGCGGGGUAACGGCCCACCGAGGCGACGAUGUCUAGGGGUUCUGAGAGGAAGGUCCCCCACACUGGAACUGAGACACGGUCCAGACUCCUACGGGAGGCAGCAGUGAGGAAUAUUGGUCAAUGGGCGGAAGCCUGAACCAGCCAUGCCGCGUGAAGGAAUAAGGCCCUAUGGGUCGUAAACUUCUUUUGACGGGGAGCAAUAAGGGUCACGUGUGGCCCGAUGAGAGUACUCGUCGAAUAAGCAUCGGCUAACUCCGUGCCAGCCGCCGC
This 509-nucleotide ribosomal RNA is filed under the name uncultured bacterium. Its description in RNAcentral is "bacterial SSU rRNA". It matches the Rfam family "Bacterial small subunit ribosomal RNA", at positions 15 to 518 of the family's 1533-position model. The record is from RNAcentral.